RNAcentral lists this ribosomal RNA (490 nucleotides) under uncultured bacterium. Its description in RNAcentral is "partial 16S ribosomal RNA". It matches the Rfam family "Bacterial small subunit ribosomal RNA", at positions 28 to 507 of the family's 1533-position model. The record is from RNAcentral.
GAUGAACGCUCGCUACAGGCUUAACACAUGCAAGUCGCAGGGUAACAUGAGGAAAGCUUGCUUUCCUUGAUGACGACUGGCGCACGGGUGAGUAACGCGUAUCCAACCUUCCCAUAACUACGGGAUAACCCGUUGAAAGACGGCCUAAUACCGUAUGAUAUCGUUUGCUGACAUCAAAUAACGAUUAAAGGUUUAGCGGUUAUGGAUGGGGAUGCGUCUGAUUAGCUUGUUGGCGGGGUAACGGCCCACCAAGGCGACGUUCAGUAGGGGUUCUGAGAGGAAGGCCCACCGGAUUUGAACUGAGGCCCGGUCCAAAAUGCUACGGGAGGCAGCGGUGUGUAAUAUUGGGCGAUGGGCGAGAGCCUGAACCAGCCAAGUGGCGUGCAAGACGACGGCCCUAUGGAUUGUAAACUGCUUUUAUGUGGGGAUAAAGUGCGUGACGUGUCAUGCAUUGCAGGUACCACAUGAAUAAGGACCGGCUAAUUCCGUG